UACAAACAGAAUGCAAGACAUUGAGGCCUUGUUUGGUUCACAUGAAUGGCUUAGUUAUUCCUCCCUUAUUCAAUGAAGUAAAACUAUUCAAGGGUUCGGUUGGCUGUAAAACCUAUUUCAUUGAAUAGCCAUUACAGCCUGAUUUCUCAAAACCACUGAAUAACAAUUCAAUGCCAUCUCUAAUGAAUGGCUAUUCAACGCUUCCAGUAAUAUACAAAAUUAUUUUUCUUUCCUUUUAUACCCAUCUUACAUCAUCUUCAAACUCCCAACUCCCAUCUGAGAUUUUUCCAAUAAAUCUCAAAGAUUAUCGUGUGAGAAUGAAUUUUUUUUGUUUUAUUUAAACUUUCUCUUCUUACUUUCUCUUUACCCUCACCAUUCUCCCAAUAUACCUGUGUAGAACGUUUGGAGUGAGCAAGAAGAGGGGUUUGAAAGAACAACAACAGCCACCAUGGCGAAGAAGAUCAGUGUAAAAAAGAAAGCCUUGAUUCCAGGUUAAAUCAAAUCCUCAAGAAUGGCAUUCACUAUAUCAGGAAAGCUAAAGCUGGAAGAUGCUAUUCGGGCUACGUUUUCUUCUCUACCUGAUGAAGUUGUGGAUACUAUUGGUGUUAUAGCUCUACCAUUUGAAGAUUCUGUUUCAGAAAGGAGAAGGAAGCUGGAGUACCUUGAGAUGCAGAAAGAACUGAUCAAGGUUGAAAAAGAGGAGAAAGAGAAAGAAGAAGAAGAAGAGCUAGCAAGGAUAAAGGAAACUAAGGCUAGAAAAAAGGAUAUGGCAUUGAAAGAGAUGACUGCCCCAACAGCUAGAGAAGCACAAGAAUAGGCUAUAACAAGAGCGCUAGAAAAAAGAGAUCAGCUUUGUGAAAUCAGUUGUGCAUUGGUUGUUUUAGCUUCAGCGUCUUCUGUGAGUAGAGAGCGAGAAGAGUUCCUUAGUCUUGUAAAUAAGGAGAUAGAACUUUAUAAUAGCAUGUAGACAAAAAGGGUACAGAUGGUGAAAAAGAUGCCAUUAAGGCAUAUAGAGUUGUAAAAGAGGAAACUGACCAUUCUGGUGAAGUGUCUGAUAGUGAUGAGGUUUUUUCAGUGCUUAUUGAAAAAGCAAGAAAUGGUUGAUGCUAUGCUCCAAAAUCUUGAAAAGGAAAUAGAUGAUGUAAAUGCCAAAAUUGGUGAUCAUUGGCGAGUACUUGACAGGAAAGUCCCUCCUGAGGAGGUGGCUGUUGCUGCUCAAUACUUAAAGGAUACGCUAGGAAAGGAGGGUGUGCAAGUUGAUAAUCUGUUGAUGAGGAACAAGUGUUUUAAUUUAACUAUAUAAAAAUAUAAAUGAUAUGUUUAUAAAGAUGAUAAUCUGUUGAUUCAGUCAUGGUUGUAGAUGGAUCUUUACAUAAACUUGAUUUUUAUUAUAUAAAAGAUAAAAGAAAUUUAUUAAAGGAAGAAAAGAGUGCAAGGAA
Long non-coding RNA from Gossypium raimondii (Peruvian cotton), 1439 nucleotides. RefSeq lists it as uncharacterized. The record is from RefSeq and is a predicted model, not a curated record. The transcript has 7 exons. NCBI's taxonomy places the organism in Eukaryota, Viridiplantae, Streptophyta, Magnoliopsida, Malvales, Malvaceae.